This 344-nucleotide unclassified non-coding RNA is filed under the name soil metagenome. RNAcentral's name for it is "partial contains 5.8S ribosomal RNA, internal transcribed spacer 2, and large subunit ribosomal RNA". The stretch from base 1 to 120 matches the Rfam family "5.8S ribosomal RNA", at positions 35 to 154 of the family's 154-position model. The record is from RNAcentral.
GAUGAAGAACGUAGCGAAAUGCGAUAAAUAAUGUGAAUUGCAGAAUUCAGUGAAUCAUCGAGUCUUUGAACGCACAUUGCGCCCCCUGGUAUUCCGGGGGGCAUGCCUGUCCGAGCGUCAUUGCUGCCCUCAAGCACGGCUUGUGUGUUGGGCCCCCGUCCCCCCCUCCCGGGGGACGGGCCCGAAAGGCAGCGGCGGCACCGCGUCCGGUCCUCGAGCGUAUGGGGCUUUGUCACCCGCUCUGUAGGCCCGGCCGGCGCCUGCCGACCACCAUCAAUCUUUUUUCAGGUUGACCUCGGAUCAGGUAGGGAUACCCGCUGAACUUAAGCAUAUCAAUAAGAGGA